RNAcentral lists this ribosomal RNA (1309 nucleotides) under Alternaria botrytis. RNAcentral describes it as "SSU rRNA". It matches the Rfam family "Eukaryotic small subunit ribosomal RNA", at positions 50 to 1370 of the family's 1831-position model. Lineage: Eukaryota; Fungi; Ascomycota; Dothideomycetes; Pleosporales; Pleosporaceae. The record is from RNAcentral.
UAGUCACGCCUAGUAUAAGCAAUUAUACCGUGAAACUCGCGAAUGGCUCAUUAAAUCAGUUAUCGUUUAUUUGAUAAUACCUUACUACUUGGAUAACCGUGGUAAUUCUAGAGCUAAUACAUGCUGAAAAUCCCGACUUCGGAAGGGAUGUGUUUAUUAGAUAAAAAACCAAUGCCCUUCGGGGCUUUUUGGUGAUUCAUGAUAACUUUACGGAUCGCAUAGCCUUGCGCUGGCGACGGUUCAUUCAAAUUUCUGCCCUAUCAACUUUCGAUGGUAAGGUAUUGGCUUACCAUGGUUUCAACGGGUAACGGGGAAUUAGGGUUCGAUUCCGGAGAGGGAGCCUGAGAAACGGCUACCACAUCCAAGGAAGGCAGCAGGCGCGCAAAUUACCCAAUCCCGACACGGGGAGGUAGUGACAAUAAAUACUGAUACAGGGCUCUUUUGGGUCUUGUAAUUGGAAUGAGUACAAUUUAAACCUCUUAACGAGGAACAAUUGGAGGGCAAGUCUGGUGCCAGCAGCCGCGGUAAUUCCAGCUCCAAUAGCGUAUAUUAAAGUUGUUGCAGUUAAAAAGCUCGUAGUUGAAACUUGGGCCUGGCUGGCGGGUCCGCCUCACCGCGUGCACUCGUCCCGGCCGGGCCUUCCUUCUGAAGAACCUCAUGCCCUUCACUGGGCGUGCUGGGGAAUCAGGACUUUUACUUUGAAAAAAUUAGAGUGUUCAAAGCAGGCCUUUGCUCGAAUACGUUAGCAUGGAAUAAUAAAAUAGGGCGUGCGUUUCUAUUUUGUUGGUUUCUAGAGACGCCGCAAUGAUUAACAGGAACAGUCGGGGGGCAUCAGUAUUCCGUUGUCAGAGGUGAAAUUCUUGGAUUUACGGAAGACUAACUACUGCGAAAGCAUUUGCCAAGGAUGUUUUCAUUAAUCAGUGAACGAAAGUUACGGGAUCGAAGACGAUCAGAUACCGUCGUAGUCUUAACCGUAAACUAUGCCGACUAGGAUCGGGCGAUGUUCUUUUUCUGACUCGCUCGGCACCUUACGAGAAAUCAAAGUUUUUGGUUCUGGGGGAUUAUGGUCGCAAAGCUGAAACUUAAAGAAAUUGACGGAAGGUCACCACCAAGCGUGGAGCCUGCAGCUUAAUUUGACUCAACACGGGGAAACUCACCAGGUCCAGAUGAAAUAAGGAUUGACAGAUUGAGAGCUCUUUCUUGAUUUUUCAGGUGGUGGUGCAUGGCCGUUCUUAGUUCGUGGGGUGACUUGUCUGCUUAAUUGCGAUAACGAGCGAGACCUUACUCUGCUAAAUAGCCAGGCUAACUU